UUGACAGCAGGCUAAAACGUGCUCGUCGAGGCUCAAGUCGCGAAAUUGACCGAAGCCAACAGGCGUUGUUUUCGGGCUUUAUCGAUUGCCGUCAACACAGAUAUAUGCAUAGGUGUAGUUAGGCUACUGUCUGGCCUGGUAUGGCGUGUCCUGGCGAACGCGACAUUUAGAUGUUCGAGGUCGGCCCCGGCUCGAUUCAAUGCCCCCGGGUUACUCUAAUGACCUUAUGUGUGGUAUAAGAUGCUAUAGGAAAGGUAUUGGGCUGGGGACACGACCGGCCCGUAGGGCCGUGCGCGAGUGGAGGCCCGCAACGGUGCGCCGGCAUUCAUUACCCACACUACCACGAAUCUCAAUGCGAAUCCCCUGCAUGCAGCCCUUUUGUAGUUGUGCCCCAACGGGCUGGCGGUCCGGGGUGCAAUUAUAUCGUUUCAGCCUUUCAGGCGCUUAUGGCGCUGAAGAGCGCCGAAGGGGAGCAGCGCACGUUAGCCACCUGCGCAAUCAUGCCCACCCAGUCCCACCAGCAGGAGAAGAUUAAGAGGCGGCAACAGCACAUCGCUCGCUCGCUCGCUCACCAGCAAUUCGCACAGUGUGUGCGCGGCUAUAUGUGUAAGUGUUGUCAGGAAUUCUGGCGGAGUCGCGCGGAAUUGCUGGCGGAAUUGCUACGGAAACAUCCGGGCCCGGACAAGUCGCGUCGCACCGCCGGACUUCCUCUUUCUCUUUCCC
This 723-nucleotide long non-coding RNA is filed under the name Chlamydomonas reinhardtii. RNAcentral's name for it is "long non-coding RNA (CREI_LNC000635)". Lineage: Eukaryota; Viridiplantae; Chlorophyta; Chlorophyceae; Chlamydomonadales; Chlamydomonadaceae. The record is from RNAcentral.